This 1952-nucleotide unclassified non-coding RNA is filed under the name Hevea brasiliensis (rubber tree). Lineage: Eukaryota; Viridiplantae; Streptophyta; Magnoliopsida; Malpighiales; Euphorbiaceae. The record is from RNAcentral.
AGAGCAAUACCCAUGUCUCCCCCCAAAUGGGGCCAAUCAGUAAACAAUCCAUCUCACCUUACGCUGUUAUCUUUUUCUUCUCUCUUUUCUCCAGACACGCACACGCGCACCUUCCCUGAUUUCUCUCCUCCCUUCCAUAAAAUUAAAUUAAACUAAUUUUCAAUACAAUAAUAAUAAGCAGCAGCGGCAGCUGGAGGUGACUGGGGAGACCAGAGACGGGGUGUGGAGUACCUAUAAGAGCGUCAAGUCCCACUAAUCGUUCCUCCUUUACUAUCCCUCUCUCUUAUAUUUCUGCAACCUCUCCCAUGGACCCACCACCGCCCCCUCAACCGCCGCCUUCUUCUUCCCUUUCCACCGCUACCACCACCUCUGCCACCCCCACCAACACCACCGCGGCAACCACCUUGCCCCCUCACCUAGCCGCUACCAAUACCUCCGCCGGAACCUACCCUGACUCCAUUGAUUCCUCUCCUCGCUCUCGCACGACUGAUUCUUAUUUUGAUGACCCCCCUCCCCUCUCCUCAAAGCUCCGCCUCAUGUGCUCUAACGGUGGCCACAUCGUCCCUCGCCCCCACGACAAGUCCUUGUGUUACGUUGGCGGCGACACCCGCAUCGUUGUUGUCGACCGUCACACUAGUCUCUCUUCUCUCUCCUCUCGUCUUUCAAAUACUCUGCUUGACGGCCGUCCUUUCACUCUCAAGUAUCAGCUCCCCAGCGAGGACUUGGAUUCCCUUAUUUCCGUCACUACCGAUGAGGAUUUGGACAACAUGAUCGAUGAGUAUGACCGGACUAAUAAUAACGCUGCCAAUUCUUCCAAACCAUCGAGGCUGCGUUUGUUUCUGUUCCCUUCGAAGCCGGAAUCAUCUCAGUCUAUUGGGCCGAUUUUGGAAAAUAGUGCCAAGUCCGAAGACUGGUUCUUGAAUGCGUUGAAUGGGGCUACUGGGUUGUUGGAUAGAGGGUUUUCUGAUUCAGCUUCUGUCAAUUGCUUGCUGGGUCUCGAUGACGAUGGCCUAAAUGGGAAUAAUAAUAAUCUCGAUUUAGUUGGUGGUGUUCGAGAUGUGGAGGGGUCGCAGAAGAACGCGAAGCAAGGUCAGGAUGUCCAUUCUGUGCCGGAUUCUCCGAUGUUGGAGACUACGUCGUCAUUUGGGUCUACUUCUUCUUCUCCUUCGCUUGCGAAUUUACCUCCGAUAAGAGUUCAUGUGGAGGAUGGAGGUGGUAGUGGAGGAGGUGGAGGGGUUAGAGGAGUUGUGCAGGAUCAGAAGGUGGCGGGUAUUGAGGAUCAGUUUUCUCAGAUUAAUGUGGGUGGUGGUAGUGGAGCUGUUGGGCAGAAGCAAGAUGAGGGUUUUGUGGUUCUGUCAUCGCCACCGCCGAUGCCAGUUUCUAUCGCUAUAACGGGUGUGCCCGUGGGCACUCCAGUGGUAGUCGGUGAGUAUCAGAAUCGGGUUUUCUCCGACGAUGAGAGAUCGGAUCAUGGGGUUCCAGUUGGUUAUAGAAAGCCGCCGCCACCUCAAACACAGCAGAAGUCAAGUGGUGGUGGUAGUGGAGGAGCUGUUGAUUUACCUUCUCCAGAUUCAGUUUCAAGUGAUAGUAGCCUUAGCAAUGCUAUAAAUCGACAAAAACCCAUGAUUUAUCAAGAUCAGGUUGUGCAUAUCCCAUCUGGAGUCAGCAGGGUUCCUGCUAAUCCUGUUGAUCCAAAGCUCAAUGUCUCUGAUCCAAAUCCUGGUGUUCAGAUUCAACAACAGGUUCAGGAUUCUGGAUAUUUAUUUCAAGCCCUAUAUGAACAGCAGCAACAGCAACCACAACCACAACCACAGCAAUUCAUACCCGCUGGUGCUCAUUACAUUCAACAUCACCCCACAGGGGCUGUGCCUAUCUCAGCAUUUUACCCUGUGUAUCCUCCCCAGCAGCAACACCAUCGCCAGUAUCAUCACCAGCUUGAUCAGCAAUACCCA